Long non-coding RNA from Ipomoea nil (Japanese morning glory), 583 nucleotides. RefSeq lists it as uncharacterized. The transcript is spliced from 3 exons. Lineage: Eukaryota; Viridiplantae; Streptophyta; Magnoliopsida; Solanales; Convolvulaceae. The record is from RefSeq and is a predicted model, not a curated record.
CUCUGGCGAUUGACGACUAUUAUUAGGGUUUCAAAUUACCCUUCGUCUUCAGCAGUUCAUAUCGUUGCGAAUUCACCACUCCAAAACCCUCGCUCCACCUUCUCCAGCCCACGCGAAAACAACCCCAGCACCCCACUACCGCAGCUCUCCAUUCUCCCUCGCUGUCAUUCCCACAGCGCCGCCGUCGGUCGUUGUCCCCACAGUAGUCGUCGUCGCUCGUCGUCAUCCUCUUCUCGUCGCACAACCGGUCCAGACGGAGGACCGAAGCUCACGCUCUAUCCAAACCUUCCUUUGUCUGUUUCAUUGGCGGCCUCUACUGCUAAGUUGUGACAGUGAAAGACCCCAGGGAAGCACAGAUUAUUCUUGGUGGGGUGGAAGAAGGUGGGUUUGAUGUUGUUAUUGCAGAUGUGCACAUGCCUGAGAUGAAUGGAUUUCAAUUGCAGCAGCAAAUCACCACUCACUUUCAACUGCCUGUUAUUUACUCUAGCUUUGCUAUUAAGUGUGGUGGUCAAGAAAUAACAUCGUUUAACCAGAUAGUGUAUGAGAGGGAUAAUGAGACUCUUGGUUCGGCAACAUAUUACAU